This 367-nucleotide RNase P RNA is filed under the name Candidatus Tariuqbacter arcticus. RNAcentral describes it as "RNase P RNA component class A". It matches the Rfam family "Bacterial RNase P class A". Rfam says of the family: Ribonuclease P (RNase P) is a ubiquitous endoribonuclease, found in archaea, bacteria and eukarya as well as chloroplasts and mitochondria. Its best characterised activity is the generation of mature 5'-ends of tRNAs by cleaving the 5'-leader elements of precursor-tRNAs. The record is from RNAcentral. Lineage: Bacteria; Pseudomonadati; Candidatus Electryoneota; Candidatus Tariuqbacteria; Candidatus Tariuqbacterales; Candidatus Tariuqbacteraceae.
GAAGUGAGUCAGACGGUCGCGUCUCGAAUCAUCGGGAUGAGGAAAGUCCGAACUCCACAGGGCAGGACGCCUCGUAACACGAGGGCGCCGCGAGGCGACGGAAAGUGCCGCAGAAAAUAUACCGCCCGCUUAAUAGCGGGUAAGGGUGAAAAGGCGAGGUAAGAGCUCACCGCCCCGAAGGGUAACCAUCGGGGGCAGGGUAAACCCCGUCCGGAGCGAGACUGAAUAAGCAGGAAUCUCGAUUUAUCGGGAACGGAUUCGCCCGGUCCGUCCGACCUGCGGGUGGGUCGCGCGAGCUGGGAGGUGACUUCCAGCCCAGAUAAAUGACCGUCCUUGACAGAAUUCGGCUUACAGACUCACUUCCCUU